AGAGUUUGAUCCUGGCUCAGGACGAACGCUGGCGGCGUGCUUAACACAUGCAAGUCGAACGAUAAAGCCAGCUUGCUGGUGGAUUAGUGGCGAACGGGUGAGUAACACGUGGGUGAUCUGCCCUGUACUUUUGGGAUAAGCCUGGGAAACUGGGUCUAAUACCGAAUAUUACCUUCUCCUGCAUGGGGGUUGGUGGAAAGCUCCGGCGGUAUGGGAUGGGCCCGCGGCCUAUCAGCUUGUUGGUGGGGUAAUGGCCUACCAAGGCGACGACGGGUAGCCGGCCUGAGAGGGCGACCGGCCACACUGGGACUGAGACACGGCCCAGACUCCUACGGGAGGCAGCAGUGGGGAAUAUUGCACAAUGGGCGCAAGCCUGAUGCAGCGACGCCGCGUGAGGGAUGACGGCCUUCGGGUUGUAAACCUCUUUCACCAGGGACGAAGCGUGAGUGACGGUACCUGGAGAAGAAGCACCGGCCAACUACGUGCCAGCAGCCGCGGUAAUACGUAGGGUGCGAGCGUUGUCCGGAAUUACUGGGCGUAAAGAGCUCGUAGGCGGUUUGUCGCGUCGUUCGUGAAAACUUGGGGCUUAACUCCAAGCGUGCGGGCGAUACGGGCAGACUUGAGUACUACAGGGGAGACUGGAAUUCCUGGUGUAGCGGUGAAAUGCGCAGAUAUCAGGAGGAACACCGGUGGCGAAGGCGGGUCUCUGGGUAGUAACUGACGCUGAGGAGCGAAAGCGUGGGUAGCGAACAGGAUUAGAUACCCUAGUAGUCC
This 774-nucleotide ribosomal RNA is filed under the name uncultured bacterium. RNAcentral's name for it is "bacterial SSU rRNA". It matches the Rfam family "Bacterial small subunit ribosomal RNA", at positions 8 to 796 of the family's 1533-position model. The record is from RNAcentral.